AAAGUCGUAACAAGGUAACCGUAGGUGAACCUGCGGUUGGAUCAUUAAAAAGAUUCAAAACUUUUCCAAGAGCUCUCGGGCUUGCGGAAAGUCUACUUAUCCAGUAGGCACAUCUUGUGAACUGUACUGUCUCUGGCGGAUGGAUAGAGCACUGGCAACGGUCUUUAUCUGUCAGCUUGGAUCGUUAGAUCUGAGCCGUGGACAAGCCGCCAACCACUUGUUUCAACCUAAGUAUUUUUUUUUUGUCUAACAUAACCUUGUAUAAAUAUACAAACAACUUUUGGCAACGGAUCUCUUGGCUCUC
Molecule: unclassified non-coding RNA, 304 nt
Filed under: Chytridiomycota sp.
Lineage: Eukaryota; Fungi; Chytridiomycota
Description: partial contains small subunit ribosomal RNA, internal transcribed spacer 1, and 5.8S ribosomal RNA
Rfam family: Eukaryotic small subunit ribosomal RNA (bases 1-47)
Source: RNAcentral